UACAUGGGGUGCAAACGUUGCUCGGAAUUAUUGGGCGUAAAGCGCACGUAGGCGGUUCGUUAAGUCGGAUGUGAAAGCCCUCGGCUCAACUGAGGAAGUGCACCCGAAACUGGCGAGCUUGAGUACGAAAGAGGAUCGCGGAAUUCCCGGUGUAGAGGUGAAAUUCGUAGAUAUCAGGAGGAACACCGAUGGCGAAGGCAGGUCUCUGGGCAUUAACUGACGCUGAGGAGCGAAAGCAUGGGGGAGCGAACAGG
This 254-nucleotide ribosomal RNA is filed under the name uncultured bacterium. RNAcentral describes it as "partial 16S ribosomal RNA". It matches the Rfam family "Bacterial small subunit ribosomal RNA", at positions 524 to 776 of the family's 1533-position model. The record is from RNAcentral.